CGGGAAUAUUGCGCAAUGGAGGAAACUCUGACGCAGUGACGCCGCGUAUAGGAAGAAGGCUUUCGGAUUGUAAACUAUUGUCGUUAGGGAAGAGAAAGGACAGUACCUAAGGAGGAAGCUCCGGCUAACUACGUGCCAGCAGCCGCGGUAAUACGUAGGGAGCGAGCGUUAUCCGGAAUUAUUGGGUGUAAAGGGUGCGUAGACGGGAAGAUAAGUUAGUUGUGAAAUCCCUCGGCUUAACUGAGGAACUGCAACUAAAACUGUUUUUCUUGAGUGCAGGAGAGGUAAGUGGAAUUCCUAGUGUAGCGGUGAAAUGCGUAGAUAUUAGGAGGAACACCAGUGGCGAAGGCGACUUACUGGACUGUAACUGACGUUGAGGCACGAAAGUGUGGGGAGCAAAC
Molecule: ribosomal RNA, 401 nt
Filed under: uncultured bacterium
Lineage: Bacteria
Description: bacterial SSU rRNA
Rfam family: Bacterial small subunit ribosomal RNA
Source: RNAcentral